UUUGAUGUUCAUGAAAAUAGCACUUUUAAUGCUUCAUGUACUCUCUUUUCAGCAGCUAAUUAAUGGACGUCCCUUGCAUGCUGGACAACUCCUUUAAAACAUGUUCUGCUGCACAUUGAAUUCGGCCAGCCACUUUAAUGCAUUCCAGCAUCUCAUUGAAUGGUCGACUCUUGCAUGCCCAACAGCACCUUAAAUACAUGUCUAUGCUUUACAUUAA
RNAcentral lists this long non-coding RNA (217 nucleotides) under Gossypium barbadense (sea-island cotton). RNAcentral's name for it is "long non-coding RNA (GBAR_LNC020946)". Lineage: Eukaryota; Viridiplantae; Streptophyta; Magnoliopsida; Malvales; Malvaceae. The record is from RNAcentral.